Molecule: non-coding RNA, 510 nt
Organism: Schizosaccharomyces pombe (fission yeast)
Lineage: Eukaryota; Fungi; Ascomycota; Schizosaccharomycetes; Schizosaccharomycetales; Schizosaccharomycetaceae
Source: the annotation of a GenBank genome assembly
UGUAAUGACAUGGUGCAACAGAACUACAUAAGAUAUUCAUCAAUCACAUUUUUGACGUUCAGAAACCAUUUGUCGAUAUCUCGGAAGAUUAAUUCCAACAGCAGAUCGUAUUAACAAGACAUCCACAAUACCAUCCUGCCGCUUUCUCCCAACAAUGUUGAGCCACUCAUGCUUUUGAAUAGAUACAUCAGGUAAAACUACUGUAACAUCACAAGUCACGCUGCUUGAUCCAUCAAUCAACCGUAGAAUGCCAUUCUUAUAUGAUUGCACGCAUCCUAAAAAUCGAAGUUUUUGGCCGUCCUUACAAUCGUUAAUUUGAUUAAUGAAGAUAAGUUUAGCACUAUCCAUCAGCUGCUAAAUAUAUUGUAAAAAGGAGAACAAGGAAAGAUGAGGGAAGGUGGUAUAGUUUGUGUUUGGAAACUGGGUAAUCGAUUGAAAUAUGAAUUUCGUAAAUGAGCGACUUAAGAUCGCAGCUUUAAUUAAGAAAACGUAGUUUGACUUUUUCAAAAG